ACAAAACAAAAAACGAUGGGCUUUCUGUCAUGUGCCUGAGAACUGGGAGGAAGCUGGAGAAAAGAUGCCCUCUGAAUCUUUGUGUUUGGCUGCCCAGGCUCGCCUUGACACCGAAUGGUUGAAAACAGAUAUACAGAUGAUAGUGUCGAACCAAGUGGAACAAAGAAAGAAGAUCUGAAUGACAAAGAGAAAAAAGAUGAAGACGAAACUCCUGCACCUGUAUAUAGGGCCAAGUCAAUUCUGGAGACCUGGGUGUGGGUCAAGCAACCAGGUAAUCUUCUGAGUUUUGGCAUUUUGGAAAGCUUGAUCUGACGCUCCUUUUCUAAAUAACUUGGAUGGAUUAUUCGUAUUUUUUGGUAACAAUUUAAAAAAAUGUAAUUAAAAAAAUUUAAAUAUUGUGGUAAAAUAUACAUACCUUAAAACUUGC
Molecule: long non-coding RNA, 427 nt
Filed under: Homo sapiens (human)
Lineage: Eukaryota; Metazoa; Chordata; Mammalia; Primates; Hominidae
Description: non-protein coding lnc-NIPA1-2:13
Source: RNAcentral